This is a long non-coding RNA of Ipomoea triloba (trilobed morning glory), 922 nucleotides long. RefSeq lists it as uncharacterized. The record is from RefSeq and is a predicted model, not a curated record. NCBI's taxonomy places the organism in Eukaryota, Viridiplantae, Streptophyta, Magnoliopsida, Solanales, Convolvulaceae. The transcript has 4 exons.
ACUUCGUUCCAGCCCAGCCGCUUCUUCUCUUCUCUCUCGCUUCGAACCGACGACCUCGACUUCGAACGUGGAACGGCGGGUGGCAGUGGCGACUAUCUCUCCUUCUCGUCCAGCAGAUCGAAGCCAGCGGAGGCGACAACGGAUCUGGAGAUCGAACAGCAUCGGCGAAUCUGGAGGGCGCUGGCUCGGAGCUCCGGUGGCGGCAUAGGCAGUAGCUGGCGAGGGUGUUGGAUCGGAGCUCCGGUGGCGGCGUAGGCAGUAGCAGGCUGGUGGCGAGGGUGCUGGCUCGGAGCUCCGGCGGCGGCGUAGGCAGUAGCAGGUUCUGGCUGGUAGCAGUGCUGAAUGAAGUUGACAAGCUCUCAAGAGAAGCUCAGCAUUCUCUUCGAAGAACAAUGGAGAAAUACAGCACGUCAUGCCGUCUGAUUCUUUGCUGCAACAGUUCUUCAAAAGUUACAGAAGCUGUUCGUUCUCGAUGCCACAAUGUGCAAAUAAAUGCACCUAAGGAAGAAGAGAUCACUUGAAACAACUAGCAAGCGAUUCCAACAUGCCUCAGAUUAUGUAUUUUCUUAAUGGGUUUUGCAAUGAAGUGAAUCCUAUUGUACAUGCCUCAGUAAAUCCAUUGUACUUUGCAAUGAAGUGAAUCCUAUUCCAACAGCCAUUGCAGCAAGAAAAGCAAGUCGAAUGGCUUCCCGUGCAAGGUGGGUGGAGGAGUAUCAUGUUGAUGGCUCCCAUUUUCAUUAAAUUCCAUCAAUGUUGUAUACACACAACAGAUUUGUAUCAUUUAUUGGAUUUGCAAUACUCUACCAAAAUCAAUCAAAAAUGUUACUUUCAGACUUUAUGUAAUUGCAUUUUGUAUGUAUUUUACAAUAUUGUGUUUUGAUGAUAUAUUAUUGUAUUAAAGUUUGAUUAAAGUUUGAUGAUA